RNAcentral lists this ribosomal RNA (373 nucleotides) under uncultured organism. RNAcentral describes it as "partial 16S ribosomal RNA". It matches the Rfam family "Bacterial small subunit ribosomal RNA", at positions 527 to 896 of the family's 1533-position model. The record is from RNAcentral.
GUAGGUGGCAAGCGUUGUCCGGAAUUAUUGGGCGUAAAGCGCGCGCAGGCGGUUCUUUAAGUCUGAUGUGAAAGCCCACGGCUCAACCGUGGAGGGUCAUUGGAAACUGGAGAACUUGAGUACAGAAGAGGAAAGCGGAAUUCCACGUGUAGCGGUGAAAUGCGUAGAGAUGUGGAGGAACACCAGUGGCGAAGGCGGCUUUCUGGUCUGUAACUGACGCUGAGGCGCGAAAGCGUGGGGGAGCAAACAGGAUUAGAUACCCUGGUAGUCCACGCCGUAAACGAUGAGUGCUAAGUGUUAGGGGGUUUCCGCCCCUUAGUGCUGCAGCUAACGCAUUAAGCACUCCCGCCCUGGGAGUACGGCCGCAAGGCUG